UACGGAGGGUGCGAGCGUUGUCCGGAAUCACUGGGCGUAAAGGGCGCGUAGGCGGCGCGGGAAGUCAUCGGUGAAAGUUCAGGGCUCAACUCUGAAUCGGCCGGUGAUACUCUCGUGCUUGAGCACUGUAGAGGCAGGUGGAAUUCCGGGUGUAGCGGUGGAAUGCGUAGAGAUCCGGAAGAAGACCGGUGGCGAAGGCGGUCUGCUGGCGAGUACCUGACACUGAUGCGCGACAGCGUGGGGAGCAAACAGG
This 253-nucleotide ribosomal RNA is filed under the name uncultured bacterium. RNAcentral describes it as "partial 16S ribosomal RNA". It matches the Rfam family "Bacterial small subunit ribosomal RNA", at positions 524 to 776 of the family's 1533-position model. The record is from RNAcentral.